UAUUGGACAAUGGGCGCAACCCUGAUCCAGCAAUGCCGCGUGUGUGAAGAAGGCCUGAGGGUCGUAAAGCACUUUUGUCAGCCCCGACGAAGUAUGCGCUAAUACCGCAUAUGACUGACGUUACCUAAAGAAUAAGCACCGGCUAACUCUGUGCCAGCAGCCGCGGUAAUACAGAGGGCGCAAGCGUUAAUCGGAAUUACUGGGCGUAAAGGGUGCGUAGGUGGACGCAUAAGUCGGAUGUGAAAUCCCUGGGCUUAACCUAGGAACUGCAUUCGAAACUGUGAGUCUAGAGUAUGGUAGAGGUAAGUGGAAUUUCCGGUGUAGCGGUGAAAUGCGUAGAUAUCGGAAGGAACAUCAGGGCGAAGGCGACUUACGGACUAUACUACACGAGGCAGAAAGCUG
This 402-nucleotide ribosomal RNA is filed under the name uncultured bacterium. RNAcentral's name for it is "bacterial SSU rRNA". It matches the Rfam family "Bacterial small subunit ribosomal RNA", at positions 362 to 762 of the family's 1533-position model. The record is from RNAcentral.